This 1389-nucleotide long non-coding RNA is filed under the name Solanum tuberosum (potato). Its description in RNAcentral is "long non-coding RNA (STUB_LNC001669)". Lineage: Eukaryota; Viridiplantae; Streptophyta; Magnoliopsida; Solanales; Solanaceae. The record is from RNAcentral.
UACAAAAUAUAUUUACAGACAGACUCGGUCAGUACACAUUGGCAGAUGGAACACAUUGACAACAUUAAGUUAAUAAAAGAGGAUCAGGUAGAUGGGAUAGAUCAGAAGAUGCCGGGAGAUGUGCGGCAACCUUUUAUUCCUUCUUUUUAUAAAUUCCCACAUAAACAAUGCCUACCAAUGCUGAAACUCCAUCCAGUGCAACUGCUGCUAUUACAUCUAUUAUUUUAUCUGAUGAACCUGAUAAGACACUUAUAAAAAAAUAAUUGAUACGCUUAGUUGGUGCAGUCUUUCCAUCAACAGAUUGAUUUGAGAGCAAAGAGGAAUUUCUUCAGAUACAACACGCCUACAACUCGAUGUUCAACAUAUAUAGCUUUAUCCACCAUGAAACAAUAUAAAUACUUACAACAAAUCAUAUGAUUUCUCAUAAACAAAAACAAAUCGCAUUAUUGAUGAAAAAGAAAUAAAUAGUAGUACCCCUUGACUGCUAAUAGUAGUACCUCUUGACUGCUAGCAGAAUUAUACCAUUAGCUUGAUUAUCAUAAAUGUUAUAGAAAGAUAAAGCAGUGAACUCUAGUUAGUCUCCACACUAACACAAACUUGAUUUAUAAAAUUCGAGUACGUCAUAUUUUUGAAAAAAAAAAAGUUCAAACUUAAAUAUGAAAAUGUGUAAAUGACUAAAUGUUUAUAAAAUGCUAUCUACAACACCCUCCACAACUUUAACCAUCCAAAAUUUAUCAUCCAUUUGUUUGUUUGCUUGUUCUUUUCUCUUAUCCUUCUUUUUUUUUUUUUUUUGGAAUAUUGUAAGAUAUAUUAUCUUACCAAACUUCAUUUUACCAAUUUCUACCGUUAUAAGAAGCCACUCAUUGUUUUUCGAUAUGUGUUCUGCAGUAUUAAAAUAAAUUUUCACACUCAGGAGUUGCACCGGUCAUGAUGACUUUCAAUCCAAAGGUCAACGAAAAGAGUAGUACACUUUCAUCAGUGAAAACUUUCAAAAAUCACAACCUAAACAAUUAAAGAGUAUAGUAGAACUUCACUUGUGCAGAAGCUAGAUUAAAGAAAACAGUACCUGAAAUAAUAGCAAUAUCAUUCCUAAAUUUCUCAAACGUCUUUCCAUAAUCUUUAGAAAGGAAGCAUUUCAAAGAUUCUAAGACAAUUUCUCAUAGUUUUUUGUUUCUGCUGUCGCUACAAUCUGCCAAAAAAAACAUAACCCAAAAUCAAAAGCCAUGUUCUUUCCUUCAAUAUCAUCAAACGAUCCACAUGCAAAAGCAAGUACCGAAAAAUUCAUCGUACCAGAAACCAUUUAGAUUGAAGCAGAGGAAACUAUUCAUUCAUUAACUUAAGCUCAUCUUACAAUGGUUUCAUUGUCGAUCUCCGAAAGAAAAAUUGCUG